UCCCUCAUAGCUCAGUAGGUAAAGAAUCUGCCUGCAGUGCAGGAGACCUAGGUUCGAUUCCUGGGUUGGGAA
RNAcentral lists this transfer RNA (72 nucleotides) under Bos taurus (domestic cattle). It matches the Rfam family "tRNA". Rfam says of the family: Transfer RNA (tRNA) molecules are approximately 80 nucleotides in length. Their secondary structure includes four short double-helical elements and three loops (D, anti-codon, and T loops). Further hydrogen bonds mediate the characteristic L-shaped molecular structure. tRNAs have two regions of fundamental functional importance: the anti-codon, which is responsible for specific mRNA codon recognition, and the 3' end, to which the tRNAs corresponding amino acid is attached (by aminoacyl-tRNA synthetases). tRNAs cope with the degeneracy of the genetic code in two manners: having more than one tRNA (with a specific anti-codon) for a particular amino acid; and 'wobble' base-pairing, i.e. permitting non-standard base-pairing at the 3rd anti-codon position. Lineage: Eukaryota; Metazoa; Chordata; Mammalia; Artiodactyla; Bovidae. The record is from Rfam by way of RNAcentral. RNAcentral also lists the same sequence under 5 other names.